AGAGUUUGAUCAUGGCUCAGAAACAACGCUGGCGGCGCGCUUAACACAUGCAAGUCGAACGAGAAAGCCGGGGCAACCUGGUGAGUACAGUGGCGUACGGGUGAGUAACACGUGGGUAAUCUAACUCUUAGUGAGGAAUAACCCUGGGAAACCGGGGCUAAUACCGCAUAAGCCCGAGAGGGGAAAGUCGCAAGACGCUGAGAGAGGAGCCCGCGGCCGAUUAGCUAGUUGGCAGGGUAAGAGCCUACCAAGGCAGAGAUCGGUAGCCGGCCUGAGAGGGCACACGGCCACACUGGCACUGAAACACGGGCCAGACUCCUACGGGAGGCAGCAGUGGGGAAUCUUGCACAAUGGGGGAAACCCUGAUGCAGCGACGCCGCGUGAGCGAUGAAGCCCUUCGGGGUGUAAAGCUCUUUCGGCAGGGACGAUAAUGACGGUACCUGCAGAAGCAGCUGCGGCUAACUACGUGCCAGCAGCCGCGGUAAUACGUAGGCAGCGAGCGUUGUUCGGAGUUACUGGGCGUAAAGGGUGUGUAGGCGGUUGCUUAAGUUUGGUGUGAAAUCUCCCGGCUCAACUGGGAGGGUGCGCCGAAUACUGAGCGGCUAGAGUGCGGGAGAGGAGAGUGGAAUUCCUGGUGUAGCGGUGAAAUGCGUAGAUAUCAGGAGGAACACCGGUGGUGUAGACGGCUCUCUGGACCGUAACUGACGCUGAGACACGAAAGCGUGGGUAGCAAACAGGAUUAGAUACCCUGGUAGUCCACGCCCUAAACGAUGCAUAUUUGGUGUGGGUCAUUCAGUUGAUCCGUGCCGGAGCUAACGCGUUAAAUAUGCCGCCUGGGGAGUACAGUCGCAAGGCUGAAACUCAAAUGAAUUGACGG
Molecule: ribosomal RNA, 877 nt
Filed under: uncultured bacterium
Lineage: Bacteria
Description: bacterial SSU rRNA
Rfam family: Bacterial small subunit ribosomal RNA
Source: RNAcentral